This 938-nucleotide ribosomal RNA is filed under the name bacterium HTCC7215. RNAcentral's name for it is "bacterial SSU rRNA". It matches the Rfam family "Bacterial small subunit ribosomal RNA", at positions 51 to 1032 of the family's 1533-position model. The record is from RNAcentral.
ACACAUGCAAGUCGAACGAAGUAGCAAUACUUAGUGGCAGACGGGUGAGUAACAUGUAGGUAUCUCGCCCUUUGGCCUGGAAUAACACGAGGAAACUUGUGCUAAUACCGGAUAAGUCUUUACGGAGAAAGCUUUAUGCACCAUUGGAUGAGCCUGCACUUGAUUAGUUUGUUGGUGGGGUAAUGGCCUACCAAGACUGUGAUCAAUAGCUGAUUUGAGAGGAUGAUCAGCCACAUUGGGACUGAGACACGGCCCAAACUCCUACGGGAGGCAGCAGUGGGGAAUCUUGCACAAUGGAGGAAACUCUGAUGCAGCGAUGCCGCGUGAGUGAAGAAGGCCCUUGGGUUGUAAAGCUCUUUCGUCGGGGAAGAAAAUGACUGUACCCGAAUAAGAAGGUCCGGCUAACUUCGUGCCAGCAGCCGCGGUAAUACGAAGGGACCUAGCGUAGUUCGGAAUUACUGGGCUUAAAGAGUUCGUAGGUGGUUGAAAAAGUUAGUGGUGAAAUCCCAGAGCUUAACUCUGGAACUGCCAUUAAAACUUUUCAGCUAGAGUAUGAUAGAGGAAAGCAGAAUUUCUAGUGUAGAGGUGAAAUUCGUAGAUAUUAGAAAGAAUACCAAUUGCGAAGGCAGCUUUCUGGAUCAUUACUGACACUGAGGAACGAAAGCAUGGGUAGCGAAGAGGAUUAGAUACCCUCGUAGUCCAUGCCGUAAACGAUGUGUGUUAGACGUUGGAAAUUUAUUUUCAGUGUCGCAGGGAAACCGAUAAACACACCGCCUGGGGAGUACGACCGCAAGGUUAAAACUCAAAUGAAUUGACGGGGACCCGCACAAGUAGUGGAGCAUGUGGUUUAAUUCGAAGAUACGCGCAGAACCUUACCAACACUUGACAUGUUCGUCGCGACUUUAAGAGAUUAGAGUUUUCGGUUCGGCCGGACGAAA